AUAUAAUAAUUCAAAUCAGGGGGCACGGAAGUGCCCCCGCCAAGACGAGCCAAUCUAAAGGACUGGGCGCUACGUACCUUUUCUGGAAGCAUUUCGUCGUAUUUUCGAACUGUCAUAGCUCUGGUCUGGAUGACGCUAGGAAGCUGAAAUUUUCAGGAUAAGGUGUCCUCAGCAAACUUAUUAAACACAUUAGUAUCAAUUAUCUAGCUUUUAUGGUUUCAGAUUUAUUGAUACCUGAAAUAAGUCGAUUUCGUGACUAAUAAAAUGAUCAUCAUAAUUCAAAAUUUCUAAUCAAAAAUUGUAGG
Molecule: long non-coding RNA, 305 nt
Organism: Maniola jurtina (meadow brown)
Lineage: Eukaryota; Metazoa; Arthropoda; Insecta; Lepidoptera; Nymphalidae
Exons: 3
Source: RefSeq, a predicted model, not a curated record